GUGAGGAAUUUUCCGCAAUGGGCGAAAGCCUGACGGAGCGACGCCGUGUGUGCGAUGAAGUCUUUCGGGAUGUAAAGCACUGUCAGAGGGGAAGAUAUUGACGGUACCCUCAGAGGAAGGCCCGGCUAACUACGUGCCAGCAGCCGCGGUAAUACGUAGGGGCCAAGCGUUGUCCGGAAUUAUUGGGCGUAAAGGGCGUGUAGGCGGUCUAGUAAGUCAGAUGUUAAAUCUACGGGCUCAACCCGUAGCCGCAUUUGAUACUGCUGGACUAGAGAGUGGUAGAGGAAAGCGGAACUUCCGGUGUAGCGGUGAAAUGCGUAGAUAUCGGAAGGAACACCAGUGGCGAAGGCGGCUUUCUGGGCCACUUCUGACGCUGAGACGCGAAAGCUAGGGGAGCAAACGGGAUUAGAAACCCCAGUAGUCC
RNAcentral lists this ribosomal RNA (424 nucleotides) under uncultured bacterium. Its description in RNAcentral is "bacterial SSU rRNA". It matches the Rfam family "Bacterial small subunit ribosomal RNA", at positions 354 to 796 of the family's 1533-position model. The record is from RNAcentral.